UACGAAGGGGGCUAGCGUUGUUCGGAUUUACUGGGCGUAAAGCGCGUGUAGGCGGGGCGUUAAGUUGGGGGGGAAAUCCCGAGGCUCAACCUCGGAACUGCCUUCAAAACUGGCGACCUGGAGCAAAGAAGAGGCGAGUGGAAUUGCGAGUGUAGAGGUGAAAUUCGUAGAUAUUCGCAGGAACACCAGUGGCGAAGGCGAGUCUCUGGACGACUCCUGACACUGAGGCACGAAAGCUGGGGGAGCAAACAGG
This 253-nucleotide ribosomal RNA is filed under the name uncultured bacterium. RNAcentral describes it as "partial 16S ribosomal RNA". It matches the Rfam family "Bacterial small subunit ribosomal RNA", at positions 524 to 776 of the family's 1533-position model. The record is from RNAcentral.